Molecule: long non-coding RNA, 2574 nt
Organism: Anser brachyrhynchus (Pink-footed goose)
Lineage: Eukaryota; Metazoa; Chordata; Aves; Anseriformes; Anatidae
Source: Ensembl
GUGUUGGGGGACACUGGGAAGGACUGGCAGAAACUGGGAGAGACUAGAAGGGACUGGGAAGGGACUGGGAGGGAUUGGGAGAGACUUGGAAGGGACUGGGAGGGACUGGGAGAGACAGGGAGAGAUUGGGAAGGGACUGGGAGAAACUGGGAAGGGACUGAGAAAGACUGGGAAGGGACAGGGAGGGACCGGGAGAGACUGGGGGAGAAUGGGAAGGAAACUGGGGGGACUGGGAGGAACUGGAGGUGACUGGCAAGGACCGGGAUGGGGACUGGGAGGGACUGGGAGUGACUGGGAAGAACUGGGAUGGAGACUGUGAGGGACUGGAAGUAAAGCCUGGAUGGAUGGGGAGGGACUGGGCUGGGAACUGGGAGGGACUGGGCUGGGAACAGGGAGGGACCGGGAUGGGAACUGGGAGGGACCGGGAUGGGAACUGGGAGGGACCGGGAUGAGAACUGGGAGGGACUGGAAAGGGAACUGGGAGGGGCUGGGCUGGGGAUUGGACAAACUGGGAGGGACUGGGGUGGGAAUUGGGAGAAAAAGAGAUGGGUGGGAACGGACUGGGAUGGGGACUGGGAAGGGCUGGGAUGGACUGGGGUGAACUGGGAAGGACUGGGAUAGACUGGAAAGGAUUGGGAUGAACUGGGAUGGACUGGGAUGGACUGGGAUGAACUGGGAUGAACUGGGAAGGACUGGGAUGACCCCCCCCCCAUGAUCCCCCCCCCAGAUCCAGGCGCUGCCGACGACUGCGACUCGGGAUCCCGCUUGGCCCCGCUGAUGGCCGGAGUGGAUCCCUGCAAGGAUCCCGCGGGAUUCCUCAGCCCCCAGCUGCCCGGAGAUGGGGCCGGAUCCCCCGGGGGAUCCUACAGCGACUCGGGAUCUUAUGGGGGCGGCCCGGGAUCCUCUGGAGGAUCGGGAUCCUAUGGGAUCAGCUCGGGAUCCUAUGGGGGCAGCUCGGGAUCCUAUGGAGGAUCGGGAUCCUACGGGAUCAACUCGGGAUCCUACGGGGGUAGCUCGGGAUCCUACGGGGGAUCGGGAUCCUCCGGGGGAUCGGGAGCAUUCCCAGGACGAGGGAGCGGAUCGGGAUCCUACGUGUCCCCAGGAUCGAGCGGAGGCAAGCCGGGAUCCUAUGGCAGCAGGCCGGGAUCCCCCGGGGACGGCUCGGGAUCGUUUGUCUCACCGGGAUCCGGUGGGCCGCCGGGAUCCUACGGACUGGUGCCCUACGGGAGUGGAUUCGGAUCGGGGAGCUACGGCCCGCAAGGGGGAAGCGGAUCGGGAUCCUAUGGGGGAUCCAGUUCAGGAGCCUAUGGAAGCGGCUCAGGAUCGGGCAGACCGGGAUCCCAAGGGGGAUUUGGAUCUGGAUCGGGAUCGGGCAGACCGGGAUCCCAAGGGGGAUUUGGAUCCGGAUCAGGAUCAGGCAGACCAGGAUCCCAAGGGGGAUUUGGAUCCGGAUUGGGAUCAGGCAGACCAGGAUCCCAAGGGGGAUUUGGAUCGGGAUCGGGCAGGCCUGGAUCCCAAGGGGGGUCGGGAUCUUAUGGGGGAGCGGGAUCUUAUGGGGGAUUGGGCUCCUACGGGGGGUCGGGGUCCCAGGGGGGCUCCCAGCGCCCCGUGUACAAGAACCCCGGGAUCCCCUUCGUGCCGGGGCUGCGGGAUCCGGCCCGGAUCGGGGGCUACAUCCCCGUGCGCCGCGGCCCCACCACGGGAUCGGGAUCCACUCACGGCUCCGGCGCGGGAUCCAGCUCGGGGACGGCGACCGGGACCUACGGCUCGGGAUCCCAAGGGGGAUCCCAAGGGGGAUCCCAAGGGGGAUCCGGGGGAGGAUCCGGGGGGGGAUCUGGGGCGGGAUCCGGGACGGGAUCUGACCAAGCCCAGUCCGGCUGCGGGGGCUGUGAUGAGUAGGGGGCACCCGGAGCCCCCCCAGUCCCGCUCACGCACCCCAAUAAAGUCCUUGCAGCUCGGCACCGGCCUCGUCCUUGUCCCCACGCGUGUCCCCAUGGCCACACGUGUCCCCAACGUGUCCCCACACGUGUCCCCAACAUGUCCCCACACGUGUCCCCAACAUGUCCCCACGUGUCCCCGCACGUCCUGGCACCGGCUGAGCUGGCGGGGCCGGUCCGCACCCACGCCCGGGGACAGGGACGUCAGGGACGGGACGGGGACGCCCACGGGGACGGGAAUGGGGUCAUCGGGGUGGGACAUCAGGGAUGGGACGGGGACGCCAACUGGGGCAGGAAUGGGGACACCGGGGUGGGACACUGGGGACGGGAUGGGGAUGCCAACUAGGACAGGAAUGGGGACACCAGGAUGGGGACACCCACAGGGACAGGAAUGGGGACAUGGGGAUGGGGACUUCGGGGACAGGACGGGGACUUUGGGGUCAUAAAGGGGACACCCACAAGGACAGGGAUUGGGUCACUUGGGACCAGUAUGGUCCCAUAGGGGUCAGCCUGAGCCCUACAUGGAGGAGUGUGAGCCCUAAAGGCACCAGUAUGGCCCCACAGACACCAGUAUGAACCCUAAAAAGACCAUUAAGCCCCCAAAGGGACUGGUGGGAGCACUAUAGGGACCAGUAAG